This 496-nucleotide ribosomal RNA is filed under the name uncultured bacterium. RNAcentral's name for it is "partial 16S ribosomal RNA". It matches the Rfam family "Bacterial small subunit ribosomal RNA", at positions 28 to 506 of the family's 1533-position model. The record is from RNAcentral.
GAUGAACGCUGGCGGCGUGCCUAAUACAUGCCAGUCGAGCGAACAGACGAGGAGCUUGCUCCUCUGACGUUAGCGGCGGACGGGUGAGUAACACGUGGAUAACCUACCUAUAAGACUGGGAUAACUUCGGGAAACCGGAGCUAAUACCGGAUAAUAUAUUGAACCGCAUGGUUCAAUAGUGAAAGACGGUUUUGCUGUCACUUAUAGAUGGAUCCGCGCCGCAUUAGCUAGUUGGUAAGGUAACGGCUUACCAAGGCAACGAUGCGUAGCCGACCUGAGAGGGUGAUCGGCCACACUGGAACUGAGACACGGUCCAGACUCCGACGGGAGGCAGCAGUAGGGAAUCUUCCGCAAUGGGCGAAAGCUUGACGGAGCAACGCCGCGUGAGUGAUGAAGGUCUUCGGAUCGUAAAACUCUGUUAUUAGGGAAGAACAAAUGUGUAAGUAACUAUGCACGUCUUGACGGUACCUAAUCAGAAAGCCACGGCUAACUACGU